RNAcentral lists this ribosomal RNA (253 nucleotides) under uncultured bacterium. Its description in RNAcentral is "partial 16S ribosomal RNA". It matches the Rfam family "Bacterial small subunit ribosomal RNA", at positions 524 to 776 of the family's 1533-position model. The record is from RNAcentral.
UACGUAGGGUGCGAGCGUUAAUCGGAAUUACUGGGCGUAAAGCGUGCGCAGGCGGUUUUGUAAGCCAGAUGUGAAAGCCCCGGGCUUAACCUGGGAAUGGCAUUUGGGACUGCAAGGCUUGAGUGCGGCAGAGGAGACUGGAAUUCCGGGUGUAGCGGUGGAAUGCGUAGAGAUCCGGAAGAACACCGGUGGCGAAGGCGGUCUGCUGGGCAGUUGCUGACACUGAGGCGCGACAGCGUGGGGAGCAAACAGG